Long non-coding RNA from Hylaeus anthracinus, 2183 nucleotides. RefSeq lists it as uncharacterized. The transcript is spliced from 2 exons. The record is from RefSeq and is a predicted model, not a curated record. Lineage: Eukaryota; Metazoa; Arthropoda; Insecta; Hymenoptera; Colletidae.
AUCGCAAAUAAGCUUUCGAAUAAAACCAAAAUUAAUGAAAUCGGUCCACGUACAACAGCGAUAUCGUAAUAUCAUGUCACGAUUCAUCUAAAAACGAUACCGUCUUAUACUUUUCCAGUCGAUUUUUCGUCAACACUUAACUAAUAGGAGGAAUAGCUGGAUGCAGGUUAUUAAGACAGAAGAAAAAAAUUUCACCAGAUACUGCAAGAAAUAUUGCACAAGAGACAGUAAUGUUGCCUUUAUAAUACGUGUGUGCACCCAUUAAAACCAUAAUAGUAAUUACAACAAGAAAAGGAUCUUAUAACAUCAUCAAUAAAAGAUCCUUGAUUGAUCUAAGCAGCUACAGUCAUUCCAAUAAAAGGAAACGAAGGGAUGAAUUGCUUGUUUCAUGAAGCGAAUAAUUUGCUGACGAAGCAACUGUAUUUUGGUGCUCUCCAAAAAUAGGAGCUGCCAUUGUGAAAUUCUAGUAUUUUAUCUGAGUGAAGGAUAUCUGGUAGUAAUUAUUAAAAUACCACAAGAAGGAUCGUGCAAGUUAACAGGAAAUACGAUAGUUUGACAGGUAUAUUGAAUUUGGCCAGUUAAAAUAUACUACGCCCUGACAGAGUGUACAAUGGAAGGAAUUAAGUGAUCUGUAUAUAAUGUUUGUAUGAAAAUUAUAAUUUCUAUUUUUAUUUUAAGCAUUAUGUUAAUUCGCAAUUAAAAUAUGGUAUGUAUGUGUUACGGAUAAUUGAAGCAUGAGAUGGUGCGGUGUGCAUAAUAAAUUUGCUGGUAUUUAUAUUAAUUUAUGAAUUGAAUGAAUAAAUGUUCAUAAUUAAUAAAUUAAUAUUACAUGAUUACGAUAUCUCUGUCGUUCGUGGACCGGUUUUAUUGAUUUUGAUGGUAUUCAAAAGCUUAUAUGCGGUUUACAUCAGAAAAAUGCUUUAAAAUUUAGAAAAUGCGUGUUGAGAUAUUUAUAAAAGAAGUUUCAGGUUAGGUUGAAAUCGAUCAUCUUCCUGUAAAAGAUACGCGGUAGCUACAACGCCAGGUAUACGUGGUGACAUAUAAUUUUUCAUGUACUUGGCAUCGAGACGCUACCGCGUCUCUAGAUAAUGAGGACAUACAUAACCAAUCUAUUGGUGAGGGUAAUCAAUCAUGCUUUUUCUAUAGAUAUGUGACAUGCACAGCAAUACGAAUACUGUAGAUUAAUUUAUCCUUUAUUUCAACAAAUCUUCUACUGACAAACUGUGCUUUAAUGUAAAAUCUUCCUCUACGUUAGCUUAAAAAACUUUUUUAGCAAAUUAACCUUUUUCAAAAUAGAUUACGUAUGUGUACUUUAUUGCCUCUACUAAGUCAUUAAUAAUCCAUUUGAAUGAUUGAUACGAUUACAAAAUAAUAACUUUCUUUCAAUUGACAAAAUCCUGUACGUAUGCGUACGAUGGUUUCUGGUUUGCACAAUAUUUUAGGAAUAAUUUAUCAGGACAUGAUAAAAUUAAUACCUAAAAUUACUCAUUUAGUGUGACAGUAUGAUGAUGUAAUAAAAAACGUAAUGACGUUAAUAAUACUAUAAUACUAUAGUGACAGUGCAAUUUUUAAUGGCAAUUUGUCCUGUUCUCUGUAAUUUCAAAGAAAUAGUAGUACGUUUAACAGGUAUACAUUGUCUCCGGUAGCUUUAGUGUUAAUAGCUUCGUCUGGUUCCAUCUUAGUUUCUUUCCUUUUUUUAAUGUUCUCACAUUUCCGAUUGUAAUAUUUUCUGCACUGAUUCUGUAGUAUAAGCUUUCCCAAUAUUGUUAAAAAAAAGUGUCAGAAGAAAUACUAAUAUUACCUGUGUCGAACUGUCGCAAGACGAACCCAUCCUUGAGUAGUUUAUUACUCCUUGGUUCACAGUUUUGUCGUAAAAUGUAAACCACAAGAAAAUAUAUAUCGAUUCUUUCGUUGACUGAUUUACGAGAUGGUCGUUUAACACUCGCAGUGAAAUUUGACGCAUAAUGUGCACGUUGUCAUUUGUUCGUAAUAAAUAUCACGUUAUACAAAAAACUUAUUUGACAUGCCUCAAUUUUAUUCAAAUAUAUAAAUUUAAAAGUUUAAUAUGAUAAUUUACAAUAUGAAGGGAUUGUCAAACAGGGCUUGAAGAUUUUAUAUUUUGAUAAAAUACUAAUGGUAUGUGUUGAAGAUAAUUAUUUUACUAGUUUUCGAAUUGCGCGCCA